GGUUGAAUUUCAGUUUUGCCAUUAAAGGUGUUUUGAUGAGAAGCAAAAAGCUCACUUUUCCCCGCAAAGUGUGAUGAGAAACCAUUUAUUUCAACGAAUGGGAAAGGAACUGAAUUGCAUUUUCUGCCGAUUAUCUGGCGACCAACCCUUUGCCUCAAGCAACCAAGAUCUGGACGCUCAGACUUGGAGAUGGUCUGCUGCUCUUGAUGCUUUCGGAGACAGCUAUGGCAAGAAUGCAAGGCUGCCCGCUGUGCGGACAACAAAUAGGCCGUCUCCGCCGAGGGGAACUUUCCCAGAAGACCUCAGAAGCUUUUGUGGGGGAUCACCAAGCCGCUUUCCACUGGAGGGAACCGCGGGAGAUGCUUGCCAGGUGGCGUCGAUGUUUUGGGGCGUUUGCCCUGGAGGGUUGCUUCUUCUCUUUCCACCAUGAUAGCGAACGGCAGACUUUUUGUGGCGGGGUCCAUCAGUGGUUCUCAAACAUUUUACACCAAGUACCAUCUAAAAAGUGCUAUUCACAUUAUUGACAGCUGCUGUAUUAUUUAUUACGGGCAGCCCAGUGUGUAUGUGUGUGUGUGUGCACGCGCACUCAUGAGAGCAUGUGCACAGCUGCCCAUCUGUUUGGUGAAAGCCGGCGCGGCCCCUUGCAGCCAAACGACUGAUGUGAUUUAGUGGCGCAGGUCACAGGUCAAGAGCCCCCGGUCUCCAUCUGCGUCUAAAAAAUAAAAAAAAAGCCAUCAGGAAGGGUUUAGCCUGGAGUCAAUAGUCCAGGUGC
This is a long non-coding RNA of Hippocampus zosterae (dwarf seahorse), 772 nucleotides long. RefSeq lists it as uncharacterized. The transcript is spliced from 2 exons. Lineage: Eukaryota; Metazoa; Chordata; Actinopteri; Syngnathiformes; Syngnathidae. The record is from RefSeq and is a predicted model, not a curated record.